RNAcentral lists this long non-coding RNA (854 nucleotides) under Elaeis guineensis (African oil palm). Its description in RNAcentral is "long non-coding RNA (EGUI_LNC007111)". Lineage: Eukaryota; Viridiplantae; Streptophyta; Magnoliopsida; Arecales; Arecaceae. The record is from RNAcentral.
UAUCUAAAAACUCUGCUAAAUUCUCCGUUCGAGCACUCCAUUCUUGUUGAGGCAGAGAACUGACUUGAGCGUCGGAGGGUCUUGCCGGAGCAACCCCACCUCCGGUUUAGACUUCCUUUGCAGGUCCCGGCGGCGACCGCGACUUCCUCGACUCCAGCUUCUCCGGCGCAAGCGGAUUUUUGCACCAACACAUAAUAUACAAUUCUAUUUUGUAUGCAGCCUCACUACUACAUAAUCAAGCAUAAUUAUGGCAAUACAAAAGAACAUAAACUGCUCUCUUUGAAAUUAGCCAUAUUAGUCCUAAGUUUUCCACCACACAAAAAAAAAGAAAAAAAAGGGAAACUCAUAUAUUUCUGUGACAACACCAUAAUUCGUAUAAAGCAUUUCUUAAAGUUUGAUCUAAUUUGCAAAUCCCUAAAUAACCAAAAGUAUACAACCCUGCAAUGUGACCGUGGGGUUCAAAGUAAGAGUUAAAUAGACAAUUCGCAAGUAUCCAAAAUAUUUUGCUUCAGAUAGAAGUCAUAAGAAAAGCCAGAUUCAUGACAAGCCACAGGUAUUUACAUAUACAAUUUAAGAAAACCUAAUUUCUUCAAGUGGUCACUCUCCAAAGGGGCCCAAAAAAGAUGCUAUCUUGGCGUGCAGAUUGAGUUAAUAUUACUAUUCUAAGUGAAAGCAAAAACACUUUUAUAUUAGCAUGUCAGUUACCAUGUGACAUAAUUUAACUUCUAUAUAGGUUGAAGAAAAAUAGCGAAGGAACAAAAUGGAAUAUGCAAUUCAGUGUAGUUGCAUGAAUGAAAAUUAAUCCAACAGAAUCAUCUGUUAUUAGUUCAUAAAUCACAAAAACAAAAUAGUUC